CCUACGGGUGGCUGCAGUGGGGAAUAUUGGACAAUGGGCGCAAGCCUGAUCCAGCAAUGCCGCGUGGGUGAAGAAGGCCUUCGGGUUGUAAAGCCCUUUUGUACGGGAAGAAAACCCCUCCGAUAAUACCGGAUGGGAAUGACGGUACCGUAAGAAUAAGCACCGGCUAACUUCGUGCCAGCAGCCGCGGUAAUACGAAGGGUGCAAGCGUUAAUCGGAAUUACUGGGCGUAAAGCGUGCGUAGGCGGUUUCUUAAGUCCGUUGUGAAAGCCCUG
Molecule: ribosomal RNA, 275 nt
Filed under: uncultured bacterium
Lineage: Bacteria
Description: partial 16S ribosomal RNA
Rfam family: Bacterial small subunit ribosomal RNA
Source: RNAcentral